AUUUAAACAGUGAACAUGUCUGGGGCAGUUUGUAAUCUGUCUCUCGCUUCACUGGGAUAAACAUUUCAGAUGAAAAAACCCUUGGGAAGUACCGUCAUACGAUCUCGGCCAACUUGACGGUCAUGAAGAUUUCCCUAUUCACACUGAGACAAUGUCUACCGGUCUUCCACACGUCUCACUGCUUCACGGUGCAUAAGACCAUCAAGUAGGGUCACAAAUAAGAAGAAAUGUGCUCACAAUUUGUGAAGCAAGGGAGUCGACCACCCUGGAAAAUGUUCAAGUCUGAGUAGGAUUUGUUUCGUGGCCCUAUUACGCAAACUUUACACUAUUUUUGCAAUGGGAACACAACAGGAUGGUACAUUGUAUGGAAGCUGUUCCUUAGCAAGUUCAAGUUUGUACGGGAAUUGCUAGGACAGAAUGGCUCAGAAUCAGCUGAUGAUCAAACUGCUCAACGACAACGGG
Molecule: long non-coding RNA, 462 nt
Organism: Haliotis rufescens (red abalone)
Lineage: Eukaryota; Metazoa; Mollusca; Gastropoda; Lepetellida; Haliotidae
Exons: 3
Source: RefSeq, a predicted model, not a curated record